This 727-nucleotide long non-coding RNA is filed under the name Capsicum annuum. RNAcentral's name for it is "long non-coding RNA (CANN_LNC014177)". Lineage: Eukaryota; Viridiplantae; Streptophyta; Magnoliopsida; Solanales; Solanaceae. The record is from RNAcentral.
CAUAAAUUUUUAGCUCUUAUCACUUCAAUGAAUAUAAUGGAUCUAGAUAUAUGAUCAUCUUUUAAUCUUGGCAUCUCUUAGUUAGACAACAUUAAACAAAAUGGAGAUGUCAUUAAUUUUGUUCCUAGUGUAUUUGACAAAGACUUUGAUGAUUUUUAUAAAAAUAGAUUCAAAUAUCGAAAUGAUUCUGCUGUGAUGAAGAAAUAACAUCAUAAAAUGGAAAAGAAGGCAAAGAAAAAAAAGAGUGAAUCAGUCUUAGAAAAGUGGAUCUACCAGUUAUGAAGGCAUAUUUUGUGAAAAAAGAAGAAGAGUUGUCCAAGUUACAAAUAGAGACACCCUUCCAAAGGUAUUGCAUGUUUUUAGUAGGAAAUAAUUAGGUCGAGAUACAUGUUUAUAUUAAUCUAAUAAUUUUGUUAAUUUGUAUCUCUGCCUAUUUAUCACUUUUACUAUAUGUAUCUCUUGUUAGAAAUAUAGAGAAUGUAAUAUGUAUUGAGAGAUAUGUGUAAUAACUGUAAGAGAUACAUGUUUUGUUGUACAAAUAUAGUAUGUAUCUCUUACAAGGUUUUAUAAAUGUAUCUAUUACGUAGAUACAUGUAUCUUUUAUAAGAGUUUGUAUCUCUUAAAAGAGUACAUGGUAGUAUUAUGUAUUUUCUAAUUUCAGUUAAAGUAUGUAUGUUUUUCAAAAUUAAUAAUUUUUUGUGUGUUAUUUUUUAGGAUAUGAUUUAUA